RNAcentral lists this long non-coding RNA (579 nucleotides) under Homo sapiens (human). Its description in RNAcentral is "non-protein coding lnc-SSX2B-5:2". The record is from RNAcentral. Lineage: Eukaryota; Metazoa; Chordata; Mammalia; Primates; Hominidae.
AUGAACGGAGACGACGCCUUUGCAAAGAGACCCAGGGAUGAUGAUAAAGCAUCAGAGAAGAGAAGCAAGGCCUUCAAUGAUAUUGCCACAUACUUCUCUAAGAAAGAGUGGGAAAAGAUGAAAUACUCGGAGAAAAUCAGCUAUGUGUAUAUGAAGAGAAACUAUGAGGCCAUGACUAAACUAGCUAGGUUUCAAUGUCACCCUCCCACCUUUCAUGUGUAAUAAACAGGCCACAGACUUCCAGGGGAAUUAUUUUGAUAAUGACCGUAACCGCAGGAUUCAGGGUGUUGAACGUCCUCAGAUGACUUUUGGCAGGCUCCAGAGAAUCAUCCCGAAGAUCAUGCCCAAGAAGCCAGCAGAGGAAGGAAAUGAUUCGAAGGGAGUGUCAGAAGCAUCUGGCCCACAGAACGAUGGGAAACAGCUGCGCCGCCCCGGGAAAAGCAAAUACUUCUGAGAAGAUUAAUAAGAGAUCUGGACCCAAAAGGGGGAGACAUGCCUGGACCCACAGACUGCGUGAGAGAAACCAGCUGGUGAUUUAUGAAGAGAUCAGAGACCCUGAGGAAGAUGAUGAGUAACUCC